GAUGAACGCUGGCGGCGUGCCUAAUACAUGCAAGUCGAGCGAACAGACGAGGAUCUUGCUCCUCUGACGUUAGCGACGGCCGGGUGAGUAACACGUGAAUUACCCCCCUAUAAGACUGGGCUAACUUCGGGCAACCGGAGCUAAUACCAGAUAAUAUCUUCAACCGCAUGGUUCAAUAGAGAAAGCCGGUUUUGCUGUCACUUAUAGAUGGUUCCGGGCCGCAUUAGCUAGUUGGUACGGUCACGGCUUACAAAGGCAACGAUGGGUAGCCGACCUGAGGGGGGGAUCGGCCACACGAGAACUGGAACACGGUGCAGACGCCUGCGGGAGGCAGCAGUAGGGUAUCGUCCGCAGUGGGCGGAAGCUUGACGGAGCGGCGCCGCGUGUGUGAUGGAGGUCUUCGGAGCGGAAUACUCUGUUAUUGGUUAAGAACAAAUGUGUAAGUAACUAUGCACAUCGUGACGGUACCUAAACAGAAAGCCACGGCUAACUACGUG
This 497-nucleotide ribosomal RNA is filed under the name uncultured bacterium. Its description in RNAcentral is "partial 16S ribosomal RNA". It matches the Rfam family "Bacterial small subunit ribosomal RNA", at positions 28 to 507 of the family's 1533-position model. The record is from RNAcentral.